Ochotona princeps (American pika) is the source of this 535-nucleotide long non-coding RNA. RefSeq lists it as uncharacterized. NCBI's taxonomy places the organism in Eukaryota, Metazoa, Chordata, Mammalia, Lagomorpha, Ochotonidae. The record is from RefSeq and is a predicted model, not a curated record. The transcript is spliced from 4 exons.
UGCAGAAGAGGUGAGGGUCUUUACUACAACAGUGGUGACAACAGAGAUGGAAAGAAGCAGGUGGAUUUGAUAAAUACAUUGAGGAAGCAAUCCCAGGAUUUUCAAAUGGAUUUCAUGUAGAUUUAAAAUGGUGCAAGAGGUAGAAUGCCUUCACCAGACAAGUGAAACACCUGUGCUGUGGUCUGGUCUGAAUUCUCUUCUGCUUAUCCUCUUCGCUCCAUGUUGCCCUAGGACCAGAAGAGAAGCAUGAAUAGCCUCGUUAACCCAACGAGGAAAGUGCUGGCUUGGUGAACCAAAAGGGAAGAUGAAAUGGAUGCAUGUGAUUUGCCAUUAUAUCCAUUCGUUUGUUCUCUAAAAUGACUUUGGAAGGAUUCGAAAAAGUAGAAUGUUUCACCAUCACAUCUGCCUGCUUGCCUCUAAACAACACAAGAAAACAGAGAGAGGGGAAAAAAUACAACAGGCUCACCCAGAUUUGCAGCUAAAUUUGGAUUCGAAAAUAACCACUGAUGGUUACACUUCUGCAUGCAUCAGAAGG